RNAcentral lists this ribosomal RNA (288 nucleotides) under Triticum aestivum (bread wheat). RNAcentral describes it as "partial small subunit ribosomal RNA". Lineage: Eukaryota; Viridiplantae; Streptophyta; Magnoliopsida; Poales; Poaceae. The record is from RNAcentral.
AUGGCAUACCGGCAGCUCCGCGCGCCGAAGCAGGCAUCCACGACCGGCGGCGCCAAGGUGCCGCAGGGGCACGUGCCGGUCUGCAUCGGCGAGGAGGGCGGGCCCGUGGAACGGUUCGCCAUGCGCGCGGACCUGCUGGGCCGGCCGGCCUUCGCGGCGCUGCUCCUGUGCGCCUCCCAGGAGUACGGGUACGGCCACCCCGGCGCGCUCCGCAUCCCCUGCCCCGUCGCCGACUUCCGCGGCCUCCUCGUCCGCCUCUCCGACUUCCCCUACGCCGACGAGUGCUAG